GGUGCAAAAAGUAGAAGCAGUGCAUUUACAGCCCUGAUAAAGGAAGGCAGCUGGAGUGAGAGCUACCGGGCUCUUGAGCAGCUUCAGUGUAUACCUUUCCUCAGUUCUCACUACAAGCAGUUAAGCAUGUUAGCUCAGAAAAUCAGAGACACUUAACCCAGCUGAUGCCAAGCGACAGAGAAUAAUUAGAAGUAAACACCAGUCAGUACUAAAAAGUGAACCUUAUCCACAGAUCUAUAAAGCAGCAAGAACCAGAGGUGAAAAUAUACAAGAAAGAAAAGACUCUACAUUCUUGUUUACUGAACUACAGUUAUGACAUCAGUUCUGGGGAACAACAGAGCUUCUGGAGGUCCAAGUAGUCAACUAAAAUGCAAGUCCAAAAGGAGGAGAAGAAGGAGAUCAAAGAGGAAAGAAAAAGUAAGCAUAUUGUCAACCUUCAUCACGCCCUUCAAGUAUUUAAGUCCUGGUGCCACCAAUAUGGAAGAUGAAGACAAUUUAAGUACCAGCAGCGCAGAAGUAAAGGAAAACCGAAAUGUUGGCAACCUGGAGGAUCAUCCGAUAUCCUCUAAUGACAGGUCAAGAGUGGGCACACCUAGCAUUAAAAGGAAAAGACCAUUAGAGGAAGGCAACAAUGGCCAUUUCUGCAAACUCCAACUCAUCUGGAAGAAAGUCUCAUGGUCAGUGACACCAAAGAAUGCCCUGGUCCAGCUACAUGAACUUAAACCAGGUUUACAAUACAAAAUGGUUUCCCAGACAGGCCCAGUGCAUGCUCCAGUCUUUGCUGUUGCUGUAGAAGUAAAUGGGCUUACAUUUGAAGGUACAGGACCCACGAAAAAGAAGGCCAAAAUGCGAGCUGCAGAACUAGCGCUGAAAUCUUUUGUUCAGUUCCCAAAUGCAUGUCAAGCUCACUUUGCCAUGGGGAACUGUUUUAACCCAUCCACUGACUUUACAUCUGACCAGGCAGACUUUCCAGAUACUCUGUUCAAGGAGUUUGAACCGUCUGCACACAGCGAGGACUUUUCGGUCUAUAACCCAGUUAAUAAUGAAUUGCUUUCUACUGCUUAUCGGCAUGGGAGGUUACUCUGCCACACAUUGGAUUUAAUGGGCCACACUAAGCAAAACAAGCACAAGAUGGCAUCCACAGCUGAGAGCGAAAAGAACCCAGUGGUGUUGCUAAAUGAGCUGCGAUCGGGACUGAGGUACAUCUGCCUUUCAGAGACUGUGGAGAAGCAGCAUAUCAAGAGUUUUGUGAUGGCAGUGAGAGUGGAUGGGAGAACAUUUGAAGGCUCAGGACGUAGCAAGAAGCUGGCAAAAGGCCAAGCAGCACAAGCUGCGCUGCAGGCCCUCUUUAACAUUCGGCUGCCCGGUCACAUUCCCAGCAGGAGUAAAUGUAACCAUUUGCCACAGGAGUUUGCUGAUUCCAUAUAUCAAAUGGUUACACAGAAGUUUCAAGAGUUGACAGACAAUUUCACUUCCAUGCACGCACGCCACAAAACCCUUGCAGGAAUUGUGAUGACCAGAGGCUUGGACAUCAGGCAGGCUCAGGUUAUUGUGCUGUCAUCGGGUACCAAAUGUAUAAACGGAGAAUACAUUAACGAUCAAGGGCGCGUGGUCAACGACUGCCAUGCAGAAAUUCUGGCAAGGAGAGCAUUUGUUUAUUUCCUUUAUUCUCAGCUGGAGCUACACCUAAGCAAACGGCGAGAGGACUGGGAGCGAUCAGUCUUCAUGCGAUUAAAAGAGGGAGGCUACAGGCUGAAAGAAAACAUUCUGUUCCAUCUGUAUGUGAGCACUUCACCCUGCGGAGAUGCACGCCUCAACUCCCCCUACGAAAUCACAGCUGACUUGAACAGUACCAAGCACAUAGUAAGAAAGUACCGGGGGCAUCUACGAACGAAGAUUGAGUCUGGAGAAGGAACCAUCCCCGUCCGAUGCCAUAAUGCAGUUCAAACAUGGGACGGUGUGUUGUUGGGAGAGCAGCUAGUCACAAUGUCUUGCACUGACAAAAUUGCCAGAUGGAACGUUCUUGGGUUACAAGGCGCUCUCCUCAGUUACUUCAUCGAACCCACAUACUUGCACAGCAUUAUUGUGGGAAGCCUCUGUCACACUGGUCACCUUUCCAGGGUAAUGAGCCAUAGAAUAGAAGACAUUGGUCAGCUGCCAGCUUCAUACCGGCAUAAUCAGUUGCUCCUCAGUGGAGUAAGUAAUGCUGACUUACGGCAACCAGGAAAAUCUCCCAGUUUCAGUGUGAACUGGAUAGUGGGUAACACGGACCCUGAAGUGAUUAACGCCACAACAGGAAAGAGGACCUGUGGGGGCUCUUCGCGGCUCUGCAAGCACACGUUUUAUGUUCGGUGGGCAAAGCUUUGUGGAAAGCUGAGCACACGAAUGCCAAGCCAUGGAGACAUGCCAUCAGUGUACAGUGAGGCUAAACUGGUGGCUCAGACAUACCAAGCUGUCAAGCAGCAGCUGUUUAAAGCAUUUCAGAAAGCAGGUCUGGGCACCUGGGUCAAGAAACCUCCAGAGCAAGAUCAGUUUUUACUAACUGUAUAAAUCAUUCAACACCUUUGCUACAUGACCAGAUCAAAUCAACUGGAGAGAAGGAUGGGCAGAAUGUGUGGGCUGAUAGAAUGGAUGCAGUUCAAUAUUUAAUAACAACCUCCAUGAGAAUGUUUUCUUUUAAUUCUGUAUUGGAAAUACAUAAACAUAAGAUGUGUUUGAUUAAUGCACUGAACUUGACUUUAGGAAACUGCUUUUUCAUACUGAUCCCCUUACACGGAUCUACAUGCUCAGAUUAUAAAAUGUUUCUCACAAAGACGCUGCUGUUCAUUGUUUGUAGUACACAGGAUUAUUAUUUAUCCAAGAAGCAGCUGCAUUUCAGACUUGAGCAGGCCAUGCAUCUGACUUAAAAUACAGUUUAUCCAGUGCUCAAUUUGUAAUGAAAGAGGUGCUGAGGCUCAAGCAAUUAGAUGCCAGGACUCAAGCAAUUUUUUUUUACUUUCAUAACUGACCCAGCAAGUCCUGAGAUGCCGGGGCUAUGAACUGCCAAGCCUGGAAAUGCUGGGGCUCAGUGCUGGCACAGACUAAGCACUGAGUUUAUCUUCCCCCCAUACCAUCAGAGCAAUAAUGUUGCUGAAUGAUGGAAGAUACUUUAGUUAGUGAAUACAUGAAAAUACCUUCAUACCCACAGUGUGACAGAGAGUCACAGGACAAGCAUAUUCAUCCACAAGGAGUUGCGUAUCCUCUAUGCAAAAAUUGUUCUGUCAGCUGCUUAAUUUUAAUACAGGGAUUCUUUUAAACUGUUUCCUGUUUUCGGAUCUGAGCAUAGUACUGGGAGCCAGGAUUUCCUGCUUUCUAAACCUGACUCUGACACUGACUCCUUUUGUGUCCUGCAGCAAAUCACAUAGGACCAAAUUUUCACCCAUAGUCCUAAGUUUUUGGUGCCUCAUCUUUUGGAAGCUGCAAACUAAACAGAGUUAGGGCCUGAUUUUUCAGAGGUGCUGAGUCCCACAAUUCCAGAUGAAGUCAAUGGGAGCUGAAGCUCCUCUGCACCUCUGAAAAAUCAACUAUUGAAUAUUUGAUAUUGGAUACCCACAAAAACCUCAGAUACUCACUUUUGAAAUUUGGUCGUUCACUGCCUCAAUUUUUCCAUCUGUGAAAUGGGGAGCUUGUGGUAAUAAUUUAUUUAAUUAAUGGUUGGUUAUAAAUCACUGUAUAAAUAAGACUCUGUCACACUUAUAUUGAAUAGUACUUCACUCUGUAGAUAGUCCCACUGAAACCAUACAAUGGACAUGACUACUUCCAGAGUAAGGCUCUACACAGUGUGAGAAAGGUAGGCUUGCCAGUUUUGGUUUGAUGUAUUCCUGGAGGUUUCGUCAUAUGACAUAAUCUUUAAUUAAAGAUGAAUCUUUAAUUCCUAGAGACUCCUAAAGGAUUUUCAGAUUCUGGUCCUAUGUAAGUACUAAAUAGUCUUAUUAAAUUGACCACACAUUCAUUCGCAGUCUGAAAUGCAGAUUGUUUUCUAUUAUAAGAAGAAUAGCUUUUUGCUGAAACAUAUCUUCAAAAGGAAGGACUGAGUCUGUUAUUAUUGCCCUAUGAAUCAUUUCACUUCAUCAGAAUGUAAGGCAUGGGAGAUCUAAACGUCCAUAAUCCAACUAAACCCAGGGUUGAGAGUUCAAUCCUUAAGGAGGCCAUUUGGGGAUUGCUCCUGCUUUGAGCAGGGAGUUGGACUAGAUGAUCUCCUGAGGUCCCUUCCAACCCUAAUAAUCUAAGAUAAGAUUUAACAGCAGAACUAACUGUCAUACACACUGUAUUUUUUUAUUUAUUUUGUUUGUUUGUUUUUUUAAAUGACAGGAUUUGCAGGUAUAUAACAACUUUUCUUUUUAUUCCAGUGAUUCUCUUUAAAUCUGUAUAUAACAUGCUGCUACUGAUUUGUGAUAAUUGUCUAGAUAUUUCACCAGAACAGUCUAGAUGAGUUACUUUUCAAACAAAUACAUAGCUCAUAUUUUUUCCAUGUAAUUUCCUUUACACAGGAAACUGUUCCUAUCAAUAAAGGUAGAUGCUCUUUGUAUAGCGUUUAUCAUAUUUGGAGAGCCAUAUACCGUAAAUACAUUGUUUAUUGAUGCCCACAAUAGACUAGCUACAGUAUUUUGAUGAGAUCUUAUUUUUAGAUUGUAAACUACAAGAUGUAGCUAUAGUGUCUUGUAUAAAAAUUAUUGUGAUAAAUUAGAAUUUUUAAAUUAGAUAAAGCAGAGCUCUCCCCUUAUGAAAACCUUUCCAAUAAAAUAAUACAUUCCAUAUUAACUACCAAAAAAGUCCUUAGAGUAGAUAUAUUUAAUAACCUGAAGUUGUUUCAAUAAGUUAGGGGCAAGAAGAUACUUUGUGGUAACCACUUUGUUAAUAUGACCCCUUCCAGGGUUACCUUUAACAUUUCAAAAUAAUGUUACGUUCCUUCUGGAGAUUCCAUCUGUACUUCCAAAUGUCAAACAUUCCCGUGUUACCUUCCCAUCUGGCUUUGGCCCUAGCUCCCGCUGGUGUUGAUGGAAGAUGUCUCCAUUGACAUCAAGGAGAGCAGGAUCUGGCCCACAGCCUGCCAGCUUUGUGUUAGUGCAGAGGGAAGCCGCUUUGUGAAGGUAGCAGGGUACAGGUCUAUGUAGUGAGUUACACACAGAGCUUGUGGCUGCUACGUAAGCAGGUAUGAAUGGGAGGAGGGUGGGCAAAGGGAGUCCCCUUGUCCCCAUGCAUGGGCUCCUCCAGGGCCAGGCCCCAACUACACAGUGGCUGCACUUGACGAAGCAUAGGGUCUGCUUCCUCCUUUAGUCCCAACGGCCCAAUACACUCCAAUGCGGGUGGGACCAUGGCCCUGCCUCAGCACGGCAUGGGGCUGGUCUGUAGAUGGGAGCAUGCAGCACUUCUUGAAGGUAUAUAGCCCCCAGUGGCCCAGGGAACUCAGGGGAGAAUUCUAGCACCCUGAGACAGAAUUGCCCUCCAAGCUCCCCCCACCCCUUAGUCUGAGCUGAGCACAUUUGCACAACGGAGUCAGUGCACUAGCAGGGUUCAAAUCCGGCUGCCAGCAUUUGAAAGGGCCCAGUGCUGUUGAGUCUGACCUCCCCAGCAUGAAGAAUACUGGGGCUCUGUCAUUUAAACUGACUCCCUCCUCACGAAGGGUACUGGUAACCCCUUCUUGAACUACUGGCUCUCUCUACGUUAACCCAGCCUAGCCACACGAGAGACAUCAAGGCUCCUUCUUAAACCAGCUGGGUUCAGCCCCAGCAUGUUUCCAACCUUAUGGAUACAUAAGGGCUGCAGGGUCUGGUAUCAGAGCUAACACGACCACAAACUGAAGGAGCUAGUUAUUUUAAGGAUGACAAGACAGGUGGGAUGGACUGAUCAGGCCUUUGUUGCAACAAAUACAUUUUAAAAAUCCUGGAUUCGAUUGCCAGACCUAAUCGAGGCAGUGAGGACCGAGCUUGAACCUGUCAUAAGUAGACAUAUGAUACGUCCAUUGAAGGUAGUGGAGUCACAGCUCCUCACCCCAGUGUUGACUCUGGGCCAAGCUGUCUACUGUUCCUCAUUAUAUGCAUCAACACAGUGUGCACCACAUCCCAGCAGCACAAAUUACCAACAUGCAGCAUUUCCUGAAGCAAAGGAAAACUUUCUCAAUAGUAAUUCUUAAGUGAUGAUUAUGUACAUAACACGCAUGAGUGAAUGGCAAUACUGUACUAAUGGAUGUAAAUUUGUAAUAUUUGUAAAAAAAAGACAACAGAAGAAAAUAAAUCUGAAUUUACAUAUGUGAAUUUGCUGCUAAGUUCUGUAAAUUGCACUUCAGUGAUACCUGAUAAGUGAAUGUUUCUGUUAA
RNA transcript from Gopherus flavomarginatus (Mexican gopher tortoise), 6355 nucleotides. It is a transcript of the gene named adenosine deaminase RNA specific B2 (inactive), with no coding region annotated. NCBI's taxonomy places the organism in Eukaryota, Metazoa, Chordata, Testudines, Testudinidae. The record is from RefSeq and is a predicted model, not a curated record. The transcript has 11 exons.